CCUUAAAAUGGUUUUUAAAGCUAAUUGAAGAAGGGUCCCUAAAUUAAAGUAAAUUGAAGAAAUCCACAAAUCUUCUGGCUAAGAACUUAGAAGUUGCCAAUGACUGUUGGAAAAGACAGAUAAAAGAGGGCUAAAAAUAAAAAGCACAACUGGAUGCCCUUGAGGAAAGGUAUGUGUAUGGGAAGCGGGUAGCGAAGGUCAUUUCAAAGAGGGCUUGGUGGCUGUAAAACCAAAAGCUCUUAACGCUGUGACCAAAGAUUGAUGUUCUUCACAGAGCAGACCAUGCACUUUGUGAUAGUGCUGUUUUUCUGAGAAGAUAACAUGCAUUUCCCUGAAUCACAAUUUAUCAUUAAUUUCAUUUUGUCUCUUUUAGGGCUAUUUUCAGAGUGCCUGGAUGGACAGCAAAGAAAUCAAACCAACCACUUAAAUAAAAAUUUAUUGACAAUAAAUAAUUUUAUACAUUAAAAAAGAACCCUUAACACAA
This 484-nucleotide long non-coding RNA is filed under the name Rattus norvegicus (Norway rat). RNAcentral's name for it is "long non-coding RNA NONRATT027446". The stretch from base 196 to 324 matches the Rfam family "Small nucleolar RNA SNORA25". Lineage: Eukaryota; Metazoa; Chordata; Mammalia; Rodentia; Muridae. The record is from RNAcentral.